RNAcentral lists this ribosomal RNA (253 nucleotides) under uncultured bacterium. RNAcentral describes it as "partial 16S ribosomal RNA". It matches the Rfam family "Bacterial small subunit ribosomal RNA", at positions 524 to 776 of the family's 1533-position model. The record is from RNAcentral.
UACAGAGGUGGCAAGCGUUGUUCGGAUUUACUGGGCGUAAAGGGUGCGUAGGCGGCUCCGCAUGUCGGGUGUGGAAUCCCACGGAUCAUCCGUGGAACGGCAUUCGAAACUGCGGGGCUCGAGGACAGGAGAGGAGGGCGGAAUUCACGGUGUAGCGGUGAAAUGCGUUGAUAUCGUGAAGAACGCCGGUGGCGAAGGCGGCCCUCUGGACUGUUGCUGACGCUGAGGAACGAAAGCUAGGGGAGCAAACAGG